RNAcentral lists this long non-coding RNA (573 nucleotides) under Mytilus galloprovincialis (Mediterranean mussel). Lineage: Eukaryota; Metazoa; Mollusca; Bivalvia; Mytilida; Mytilidae. The record is from RNAcentral.
GUCCAAAGUACACGGAUGCCCCACUCAAUCAUUUUCCAUGUUCCAUGGACCGUGAAAUAGGGUAAAAAUCUAAUUUGGCAUUAAAAUUAGAAGGAUUAUACUAUAGGGAACAUGUGUACUAAGUUUCAAGUUGAUUUGACUUCGAUUUCAUCAAAAACUACCUUGACCAAAAACUUUAACCUGAAACUUCCAUUUUCAUUUUCUAUGUUAAGUGGACCGUGAAAUUGGGGUUAAAAGUCUAAUUUGGCUUUAAAAUUAGAAAGAUCAUACCAUAAGCAACAAGUGUACUAAGUUUCAAGUUGAUAGGACUUCAGCUUCAUCAAAAACUACCUUGACCAAAAACUUUAACCUGAAACUCCCCCUUUCAUUUUCUAUGUUCAAUAGACCGUGAAAUUGGAGUCAAAAGUCUAGUUUGGCUUUAAAAUUAGAAAGAUCAUAUCAUAAGCAACAAGUGUACCAAGUUAUAAGUUGAUUGGACUUCAGCUUCAUCAAAAACUACCUUGACCAAAAACUUUAACCUGAAGCAGGACGAACGAGCGAACGAACGAACGGACGGACGAACGAACGAACGGA